Long non-coding RNA from Pieris brassicae (large cabbage white), 2265 nucleotides. RefSeq lists it as uncharacterized. The transcript is spliced from 2 exons. The record is from RefSeq and is a predicted model, not a curated record. Lineage: Eukaryota; Metazoa; Arthropoda; Insecta; Lepidoptera; Pieridae.
AUGGCCAUAAACAAGCUAUUUCAAUUCGAAAAGGUCGAUCCUGUCAAAACUGUUCGAGGAUGUAAACAAUCUCAUAUACAUUCAUCUUCAAACGCUCGCUGUUCCGACUUGGCUGCAAAAAAUAUCGCGCUAUGAAUUGGCAGCUUGUGAUUUUCACCAGCCCUUAAUAGCCAUCCGUGCGAGAACUUUGGAUAUGAAAAUAUAAAAAUACUGGAGAAAUUGUCAACGUUCCGCCCAGAAUCCGCGUCGUCAAAUAAAAGCCGAUAUCACUGAAAUCGUCACGGGAUUUAAAACACGGUGUGCAACGACGUCGACGGUACCAUUAAGGGAGGAUAAGAUCCCAUUGUGGGAGAUUAAGGAUGCCGGUGGUGUGCAACGGUUCCGAGAAAUUUCGAAACUCGUUCUCGAUCUUUUGAGUUUGCCAUUUUCGAACGCGCCUUUUCUAUACUGAGUAUAGUGAAGGACAAACUGCGUAACAAAGUGUCUGUUGCCAUGGUCGGAGCAAUAAAGUCGAACAAUGUUCGACUUACGCUCAGUAUCGAUUGCUGUUAUUUCAAGCCGACAGUCCGUAUGUUGAAGCUCUUCAAUUCGGAGAAUAUUUAUCAAAAUAUCAGUGACAGCGACAAUAGAACACUUGAUAUUUUUCCUGACAAUUAAAGCCGAACUUUACGUGUCUGUGACUUAGAAUUCUCGAAAUUAAUCUACAAACGGUCUUCUGUAACCAAAAACCGAAUAAAAUCCAUUUUCUAUUUCGUAAUGCCUUUCAUUUCCCAACAAUCUCAACAAGACCGCCGCUUUAAAGAAUCGCGCCAUGGCUCAUGCGAGGCAUCCAAGGGAAUUUUUGGGGGGAAAUCAAAUUAGUCAAAGGUACGUCGCAGAGACCACCUGGAAACACUGACAACAACCCUAGUCAAAACACAAAAUCAAAUGUUGUUUACUCCGUGAUUUAUUUAAAAUAAAACAAGAGCCGUCUACCUAUGUUAACAGCUGUAAAAAUACAGAAGACGCCUACAAUAGUAAAAAUACUACUACCGCGACAAUUUUACUUUGGUGAAGCUGAAGAUUAAAAUAUUAAUUAUUAUAACAUCGGCAAACGACCCUAAGGGGCAGCCAGCCAUGGAUACCUAUGGUGCGUGUGUUACCGGCCUUUGAGGGAGUAAUAACCUGUCUUAAAAUAAUUGGACGUUGUGUCUUUCAGAGAAGACCUCCAACGGAUUACACAGUCAGCAAAAUAUUUGAGUACCAGUAAAAAGUUUUCAGAGUUUGACUACUUUCACUACCAUAAGGGUAUUGUUUUGUACACCUAAAAGAAUCGUAACAAUUGUCCCUAUUUUCUAUAAUUGUACUGAGCAAGAAAUAAGGUAUAUAAAAUAAUCUAUGCACAUUUUGUGUAUUGUAUACUCAAACUUAACAUUGCCCAAUUUACCUUGUCACAAUAUGCCCUGUAUCCGUUGGCUUGAAAUCAAUGUUUACAAAAGUCAAUUAACAACAUGUUAUAAAAUGUACACAUCACCAUCUAGUUAAUAUGAGAGCCUUAUUAGAUGAAAUUGCAUUAAACAUAUGUAAAUUUUGAAAUUUAAUGUUUUGGAACAGAAAAAACACUAUCUUACUCAUAAAUAAUGGAUAGCAGAGAGAAGCCUCUGAAUGCCAAAUUUAGUUACUAUUGCAAAUAGCAGACUUGGGAACUUCCACCAUAACGCAAAUAUUAAAUUAGUCCAUAUCUAUAAGAUUGUUUUUAGUACCUAUACCUCAGGUAACAAAAUUUAGUUUAUUAUAAUAUAGAUCAGGACUAGUCAUUGGAUUUAAGAGGUAGCACCACAGUCCAAAUCCUAAUAAAUAAUUACAGACAAUAACAAAACGCUCUAAGGGUGGAAACAGAGCAACGUCACUAAAGUUUGGGAAUCCCAUGUGGUUGCAGAAUAUAUGGGCCAUUAAUGGUGCAAUAAAAUGACCUGAAACAGAAGAUGUUUUAAACAAAAUAUAAGACUUUACAAACCCACAUACUAUAAGCAAUACCAAGAUUUAGUAUCAUUACCUUGCACUUGAAUAAAUAUAUUUUUAUGAUUUGGUUUGUUAAUUUUACAGUGUAGAAUAUAUAUAUAAACAGUUAAAUAAUCCCAACAGACAUAAUGAGUCAGGAGCAAGUCUUGCUAGCCAAUAAUGAAUAAUUAACAUAAAUUACACUUAAGUUAUGUUACUUACCGCUUCUCAAGAACAAAAAUGAUGAAUAAGCACCAAACAUUGUAGUGUAUGUAAAUUGAAAAG